AGUGAACGCUGGCGGUAGGCCUAACACAUGCAAGUCGAACGGCAGCACAGUAAGAGCUUGCUCUUACGGGUGGCGAGUGGCGGACGGGUGAGGAAUACAUCGGAAUCUACUUUUUCGUGGGGGAUAACGUAGGGAAACUUACGCUAAUACCGCAUACGACCUACGGGUGAAAGCAGGGGAUCUUCGGACCUUGCGCGAUUGAAUGAGCCGAUGUCGGAUUAGCUAGUUGGCGGGGUAAAGGCCCACCAAGGCGACGAUCCGUAGCUGGUCUGAGAGGAUGAUCAGCCACACUGGAACUGAGACACGGUCCAGACUCCUACGGGAGGCAGCAGUGGGGAAUAUUGGACAAUGGGCGCAAGCCUGAUCCAGCCAUACCGCGUGGGUGAAGAAGGUCUUCGGGUUGUAAAGCCCUUUUGUUGGGAAAGAAAAGCAGCAGGUUAAUACCCCGCUGUUCUGACAGUACCCAAAGAAUAAGCACCGGCUAACUUCGUG
Molecule: ribosomal RNA, 492 nt
Filed under: uncultured bacterium
Lineage: Bacteria
Description: partial 16S ribosomal RNA
Rfam family: Bacterial small subunit ribosomal RNA
Source: RNAcentral